Molecule: ribosomal RNA, 467 nt
Filed under: uncultured bacterium
Lineage: Bacteria
Description: partial 16S ribosomal RNA
Rfam family: Bacterial small subunit ribosomal RNA
Source: RNAcentral
GACGAACGCUGGCGGCGUGCUUAACACAUGCAAGUCGAACGGAAAGGCCCUGCUUUUGUGGGGUGCUCGAGUGGCGAACGGGUGAGUAACACGUGAGUAACCUGCCCUUGACUUUGGGAUAACUUCAGGAAACUGGGGCUAAUACCGGAUAGGAGCUCCUGCUGCAUGGUGGGGGUUGGAAAGUUUCGGCGGUUGGGGAUGGACUCGCGGCUUAUCAGCUUGUUGGUGGGGUAGUGGCUUACCAAGGCUUUGACGGGUAGCCGGCCUGAGAGGGUGACCGGCCACAUGGGGACGGAGAUACGGCCCAGACUCCUACGGGAGGCAGCAGGGGGGAAUAUUGCACAAUGGGCGGAAGCCUGAUGCAGCAACGCCGCGUGCGGGAUGACGGCCUUCGGGUUGGAAACCGCUUUCGCCUGUGACGAAGCGUGAGUGACGGUAAUGGGGAAAGAAGCACCGGCUAACUACGU